This 468-nucleotide ribosomal RNA is filed under the name uncultured bacterium. Its description in RNAcentral is "partial 16S ribosomal RNA". It matches the Rfam family "Bacterial small subunit ribosomal RNA", at positions 28 to 506 of the family's 1533-position model. The record is from RNAcentral.
GACGAACGCUGGCGGCGUGCUUAACACAUGCAAGUCGAACGGUGAAGCGAGUGCUUGCACUCGUGGAUCAGUGGCGAACGGGUGAGUAACACGUGAGUAACCUGCCCAUCACUCUGGGAUAAGCACUGGAAACGGUGUCUAAUACUGGAUACGACCAACCCUUGCAUGGGGUGUUGGUGGAAAGAUUUAUCGGUGAUGGAUGGACUCGCGGCCUAUCAGCUUGUUGGCGGGGUAAUGGCCCACCAAGGCGACGACGGGUAGCCGGCCUGAGAGGGUGACCGGCCACACUGGGACUGAGACACGGCCCAGACUCCUACGGGAGGCAGCAGUGGGGAAUAUUGCACAAUGGGCGAAAGCCUGAUGCAGCGACGCCGCGUGAGGGAUGACGGCCUUCGGGUGGUAAACCUCUUUCAGCAGGGAAGAAGCGAAAGUGACGGUACCUGCAGAAGAAGCACCGGCUAACUACGU